GACGGGGACCCGCACAAGCGGUGGAUGAUGUUGGUUUAAUUCGAUGCAACGCGAAAACCUUACCCACCUUUGACAUGGCAGGAAUCCUAAAGAGAUUUGGGAGUGCUCGAAAGAGAACCUGCACACAGGUGCUGCAUGGCUGUCGUCAGCUCGUGUCGUGAGAUGUUGGGUUAAGUCCCGCAACGAGCGCAACCCUUGCCAUUAGUUGCUACGAAGGGCACUCUAAUGGGACUGCCGGUGACAAACCGGAGGAAGGUGGGGAUGACGUCAAGUCCUCAUGGCCCUUAUAGGUGGGGCUACACACGUCAUACAAUGGCCGGUACAGAGGGUAGCCAACCCGCGAGGGGGAGCCAAUCCCACAAAGCCGGUCGUAGUCCGGAUCGCAGUCUGCAACUCGACUGCGUGAAGUCGGAAUCGCUAGUAAUCGCGGAUCAGCAUGUCGCGGUGAAUACGUUCCCGGGUCUU
Molecule: ribosomal RNA, 465 nt
Filed under: uncultured Allobrachymonas sp.
Lineage: Bacteria; Pseudomonadati; Pseudomonadota; Betaproteobacteria; Burkholderiales; Comamonadaceae
Description: bacterial SSU rRNA
Rfam family: Bacterial small subunit ribosomal RNA
Source: RNAcentral